Tachyglossus aculeatus (Australian echidna) is the source of this 138-nucleotide small nucleolar RNA. The record is from RefSeq and is a predicted model, not a curated record. NCBI's taxonomy places the organism in Eukaryota, Metazoa, Chordata, Mammalia, Monotremata, Tachyglossidae.
CACCUCUCAGAGUUGCACCGGGAGAGCUUCCAGUACUCUUCCAGGCUCGACUAUGGGAGGGAGAGUCAAGCAGAGGCCUGUCCAUUUCAUUCCUAGCUUGGCCAGUGGCUAGGGAGUGGAAGGCAAUCUGCUAAAAGU